AGAACGAACGCUGGCGGCAUGCCUAAUACAUGCAAGUCGAACGAACUCUUCGGAGUUAGUGGCGCACGGGUGCGUAACGCGUGGGAAUCUGCCCCUUGGUUCGGAAUAACAGUUGGAAACGACUGCUAAUACCGGAUGAUGACGAAAGUCCAAAGAUUUAUCGCCAAGGGAUGAGCCCGCGUAGGAUUAGCUAGUUGGUGAGGUAAAGGCUCACCAAGGCAACGAUCCUUAGCUGGUCUGAGAGGAUGAUCAGCCACACUGGGACUAAGACACGGCCCAGACUCCUACGGGAGCAGCAGUAGGGAAUAUGGAACAAUGGGACGAAAGCCUAGAUACCAAGGACAAUGGCCGACGUGAGGUGAGUGAAGGCCUUAGGGUUAGUAAAGUCUACGUUUUACCCGAGAUGAUAAUGAACAGUAAGUCGGGAAGAAAGUAACGACCCCGG
Molecule: ribosomal RNA, 445 nt
Filed under: uncultured soil bacterium
Lineage: Bacteria
Description: bacterial SSU rRNA
Rfam family: Bacterial small subunit ribosomal RNA
Source: RNAcentral